AAGACUUUAUCUUAAUAAAAGAAUUUGAGUUGCAUUCAUAGGAUGUGGGUUAGUGUCCCGCAAGUCUUA
This 69-nucleotide transfer RNA is filed under the name Craugastor cf. fitzingeri SIUC H-06964. RNAcentral describes it as "tRNA-Ala". It matches the Rfam family "tRNA". Rfam says of the family: Transfer RNA (tRNA) molecules are approximately 80 nucleotides in length. Their secondary structure includes four short double-helical elements and three loops (D, anti-codon, and T loops). Lineage: Eukaryota; Metazoa; Chordata; Amphibia; Anura; Craugastoridae. The record is from RNAcentral.